Non-coding RNA from Mycena crocata, 103 nucleotides. Lineage: Eukaryota; Fungi; Basidiomycota; Agaricomycetes; Agaricales; Mycenaceae. The record is from the annotation of a GenBank genome assembly.
GGUCUGGUGGUGUAGUUGGUUUAUCACAUCUGCUUCACAGUGCGUUUGUUUCUGCAACCGCGGUGCCCGCAGGCGGUCCUCGGUUCGAUCCCGGGCCAGAUCA